UUGAACGCUGGCGGAAUGCUUUACACAUGCAAGUCGGGCGGCAGCGCGGGGGCAACCCUGGCGGCGAGCGGCGAACGGGUGAGUAACAUAUCGGAACGUACCCAGACGUGGGGGACAACUAGUCGAAAGACUAGCUAAUACCACAUACGUCCUGAGGGAGAAAGCGGGGGAUCGCAAGACCUCGCGCGUUUGGAGCGGCCGAUAUCUGAUUAGCUAGAUGGUGGGGUAAAGGCCCACCAUGGCGACGAUCAGUAGCUGGUCUGAGAGGAUGAUCAGCCACUCUGGAACUGAGACACGGUCCAGACUCCUACGGGAGGCAGCAGUGGGGAAUUUUGGACAAUGGGGGAAACCCUGAUCCAGCCAUUCCGCGUGAGUGAAGAAGGCCUUCGGGUUGUAAAGCUCUUUCGGCAGGAACGAAACGGCGGAAUCUAAUACAUUCCACUAAUGACGGUACCUGAAGAAGAAGCACCGGCUAACUACGU
This 482-nucleotide ribosomal RNA is filed under the name uncultured bacterium. RNAcentral describes it as "bacterial SSU rRNA". It matches the Rfam family "Bacterial small subunit ribosomal RNA", at positions 30 to 506 of the family's 1533-position model. The record is from RNAcentral.